This 1156-nucleotide long non-coding RNA is filed under the name Mus musculus (house mouse). Its description in RNAcentral is "long non-coding RNA chr9:21390099-21391255". Lineage: Eukaryota; Metazoa; Chordata; Mammalia; Rodentia; Muridae. The record is from RNAcentral.
UCUUCCUGGCCAGUUGCGGUGGCUGACAUCACACUUGUCUGAGUGAUGGGGAUGAUGUAACAUUCAGGAGUGUAGAAGCUGAUCCCAGGGCAGUCAGAGAUAGCAAAGCUUCUUCACUGCCAUAGUCUGCAUUUGUAGGAAAGUCUUCAUGGACUUAACUAAAAGACAGCAAGCAGGAAUUCAAAAUUGGUUUUCAAUCUUGCUACUUUGCAAAGAAAAGUAUCUCUGUAUGCCAAUAAACAUGUCCAUAAUGUGUUGGGUACAUGCUCAGGACAGUAGUGUGAGUGGAGAUCUGCAGGUGCAAUUGUAGAAUGUUAGAAACCAGAGAACUGCUGAAGGUUUCUCAUAGUUGUGAUUUCAGUUAUUAUUACUUUUUUUUGUUUUGUUUGUUUGUUUGUUUGUUUUUUCGAGACAGGGUUUCUCUGUGUAGCCCUGGCUGUCCUGGAACUCACUUUGUAGACCAGGCUGGCCUCAAACUCAGAAAUCCGCCUGCCUCUGCCUCUGCCUCCCAAGUGCUGGGAUUAAAGGCGUGUGCCACCAUGCUGGGCUUUAUCACAUCUUUUUAAAGAUUGUUAAAGAGCUUUGUGAAGAGCUGUUCAUUAGGGGUAGUAAUGGCUGCCUCACAAUGUGCAUAUUGUGUCCUUGGUGAGUUCACCCAAUUCCAUCCCUAGUGCAUACACAAAAGCCCAUGCUCCUGUGGCUGUGUGUCUUGACAGCUGACAUCCUCACUCUCUCUAAGGACUACUUUUUUUUUUUUUUUUAAGAUUUAUUUAUUAUUAUAUGUAAGUACACUGUAGCUGUCUUCAGACACACCAGAAAAGGGAGUCAGAUCAUGUUACAGAUGGUUGUGAGCCACCAUGUGGUUGCUGGGAUUUGAACUCUGACCUUCGGAAGAGCAGUCGGGUGCUCUUACCCACUGAGCCAUCUCACCAGCCCUAAGGACUACUUUUGGACAUCUGGAGAUAGGAAAAAUAACACGCCUUCUCCCAGUUAUUGGUUGCUAGGGAUGCUUUAAACACCCCCUAUGAUACAGGACAGCUUCCUCAGCAAGAAAUUACCUGGUCCAGAAGGUGAACCAUGCAGAUUGAGAAAUCUGCCUAUCAGUUUUCAGGGCACAUGUCUUCUCCACAGUAUAUGCGCUUUACUUCUUUUAACG